GUGGCGAGUGGCGAACGGGUGAGUAAUGCAUCGGAACGUGCCCAACUGUGGGGGAUAGCUCGGCGAAAGCCGGAUUAAUACCGCAUACGAUCCACGGAUGAAAGCGGGGGACCUUCGGGCCUCGCGCAGUUGGAGCGGCCGAUGUUAGAUUAGGUAGUUGGUGGGGUAAAGGCUCACCAAGCCGACGAUCUAUAGCUGGUCUGAGAGGACGACCAGCCACACUGGGACUGAGACACGGCCCAGACUCCUACGGGAGGCAGCAGUGGGGAAUUUUGGACAAUGGGCGCAAGCCUGAUCCAGCAAUACCGCGUGCAGGAAGAAGGCCUUCGGGUUGUAAACUGCUUUUGUACGGAACGAAAAGGUCUGGGUUAAUACCCUGGGCUCAUGACGGUACCGUAAGAAUAAGCACCGGCUAACUACGUGCCAGCAGCCGCGGUAAUACGUAGGGUGCAAGCGUUAAUCGGAAUUACUGGGCGUAAAGCGUGCGCAGGCGGUUAUGUAAGACAGGCGUGAAAUCCCCGGGCUCAACCUGGGAAUUGCGCUUGUGACUGCAUAACUAGAGUACGGUAGAGGGGGAUGGAAUUCCGCGUGUAGCAGUGAAAUGCGUAGAUAUGCGGAGGAACACCAAUGGCGAAGGCAGUCCCCUGGACCUGUACUGACGCUCAUGCACGAAAGCGUGGGGAGCAAACAGGAUUAGAUACCCUGGUAGUCCACGCCCUAAACGAUGUCAACUGGUUGUUGGGUAUUUACUUACUCAGUAACGAAGC
RNAcentral lists this ribosomal RNA (767 nucleotides) under uncultured bacterium. RNAcentral's name for it is "bacterial SSU rRNA". It matches the Rfam family "Bacterial small subunit ribosomal RNA", at positions 88 to 852 of the family's 1533-position model. The record is from RNAcentral.